UCCAUCCUGGACCUCAGCUCAGGCGUGACUACCCGCUGAAUUUAAGCAUAUCAAUAAGCGGAGGAAAAGAAACUAACCAGG
RNAcentral lists this ribosomal RNA (81 nucleotides) under Swartschewskia papyracea. Its description in RNAcentral is "partial 28S ribosomal RNA". It matches the Rfam family "Eukaryotic large subunit ribosomal RNA", at positions 1 to 73 of the family's 3401-position model. RNAcentral also lists the same sequence under 2 other names. Lineage: Eukaryota; Metazoa; Porifera; Demospongiae; Spongillida; Lubomirskiidae. The record is from RNAcentral.